UACGGAGGGUGCAAACGUUGCUCGGAAUCAUUGGGCGUAAAGCGCACGUAGGCGGUCUGUUAAGUCGGAUGUGAAAGCCCCGGGCUCAACCCGGGAAGUGCAUACGAAACUGGCGGACUUGAAUAUGGAAGAGGGUCGCGGAAUUCCCGGUGUAGAGGUGAAAUUCGUAGAUAUCGGGAGGAACACCAGUGGCGAAGGCGGCGACCUGGACGGACAUUGACGCUGAGACGCGAAAGCGUGGGGAGCAAACAGG
RNAcentral lists this ribosomal RNA (253 nucleotides) under uncultured bacterium. RNAcentral describes it as "partial 16S ribosomal RNA". It matches the Rfam family "Bacterial small subunit ribosomal RNA", at positions 524 to 776 of the family's 1533-position model. The record is from RNAcentral.